Molecule: microRNA precursor, 45 nt
Filed under: Gallus gallus (chicken)
Lineage: Eukaryota; Metazoa; Chordata; Aves; Galliformes; Phasianidae
Description: miRNA (ENSGALG00010007308.1)
Source: RNAcentral
UGAGCCCUAGUGUCCCCAGUUUGGGAGGUAGCAGUGGUGGUGACA